AAAUGAGAGAAGGGGAGAACACCGGAUCACUCUGGACUGAUGAACCCAACCUAAUUAGCUGGCUCCCAUGACAGUUUUCAACAGUUUUCCAUCCGAUUCUCGAUGAGUUUCUUCAAGUUGUUACCUAGAAAAGUGUUUUCAACCUCCCAUCUCUAAAUUCUAUCAAAAAUCCAAGCUAAUUUGGUAUUGGUUUCAUGGGAAAUGCACCGGUGGGUGUACGGGGUGCACAACGAUGAUUCCGCCAUUUGGGAAAGAAACAUGGUCGACUACCACCUUGGUUCGACUCCUGGUGAGGUAGGGAACAAAACCCAAACAACUGUAGGAGCGGCGGAGCACCGGAGGUGAUGGAUCGAAGCCAUCUAUUUCUAGGGAUUCAGGCGGGUUUGAGGGAAAUUGGAGCGUUUCCCGACCAAAUUGGACUUGGUCAUAGGUGAACUUGGUCUCAAACGGGUGUACUAAUGAUUGGCUUAAGGGCGGAUGAAGUAAACUUCUACAAAGAACCAACGAAAGAUAUGCUUCAAUUCUACAAAGAAAUGGAAGAAGUGGAAACAAGCUUGACACCAGCUCAACCUCAAUCUUUUACAAGUUCAAUGCCUCCUCUAAAUGCAUCUACA
This is a long non-coding RNA of Pyrus x bretschneideri (Chinese white pear), 614 nucleotides long. RefSeq lists it as uncharacterized. The transcript is spliced from 3 exons. NCBI's taxonomy places the organism in Eukaryota, Viridiplantae, Streptophyta, Magnoliopsida, Rosales, Rosaceae. The record is from RefSeq and is a predicted model, not a curated record.